This is a long non-coding RNA of Chroicocephalus ridibundus (black-headed gull), 645 nucleotides long. RefSeq lists it as uncharacterized. Lineage: Eukaryota; Metazoa; Chordata; Aves; Charadriiformes; Laridae. The transcript is spliced from 3 exons. The record is from RefSeq and is a predicted model, not a curated record.
CAGCGCCGCCGCCGCCGCCGCUCUCGGUCCCAUGCCCGCCUCGUUGGAGAAGCCGGAGCCGCCGCCGACGACUCGGCGCGUCCCGGCGGGGGCGAAUCAGAGGCGUCGGGGCGGGCGCGGGGGCCGGCCCCGGCUUCGCAUCGUCGAAUGGCUGCAGUUGUCACCGGGACAUUACGUGGUUGUGAAUGGGAGGAGGACUGGUCUGUGCAAUCACAUCUUUGAUGUUCUUUGAGGUUUCCCAGUUGGAUGAGAUUAACCAGCUUUAUGACUACAGACUUCGCAUAAAACAGAUAGAGCCGAACAUCACCCCGACAGCUUGGGCUACGUGGAAUUUAUAACCUGACUGUAAUGGCAACCUACUUUUGCUUACUCACUUACGGUCUUACUGCCUUUCAUGUAAUAAUGAUAUCAGCUUACAGAUUGGCACAGGAGGAUUAAAGGCUACAGAUUUAUUAUCUUUCCCUAAAAUACUAUUUUUAGUUUCUAAUUACUGAUUAAGAACAUCAGGGUGCAAUCUUUCCAGCAUCUUUCACGUACACUCACUGCUGUGUAUUCAUCAUGCUACAGUACACUAGGUUUGCAAUCAGAUAAAACUACAGCAGCAAUGUGGGCGCUAAGGAACUAAGCCAGCACCUGCUUACUCAA